GAUGGCACACGACGCAACGAUCAAAGUGUUGAUUUAUCUCUCUGACUUUGCGUUGCUGGUGCACAUUGCACCACGGCGCUGAGGUCACAGUGCAGAGCAACUGUGAAACCGCAGCUCACAAAUAUCACAUUCUUGCGAAAAUAACGUUAGCCGGUUCCAUUUUAAGUCUUCAAAUGUUUGGAUUUUCUGUUUCCUCCGCUGCAGAACGCUCGUGGUGAUUCAUCAAGAAAAACAAAUGGUCGACUUCAAAUUGGGCUUCUUGUUGGAACGUGACGGGGGCCUUUGAGAAGCAUCACCUGUUCCACACAAAUCCAACGGCCUUGUCUCUGCCCUGCCAGCUGCUGACAGCACGAGUCACUUUGAGUUGCUAUCAGCUCCAUCCUCCCAGCAUCCUCUGAGGAAGGAAGCAGGGCCAGGCUGCACCAGAGCCCCGCAAGCUUUGCAUCACCAUCUCCUGCAGGGACACUGGUUAUUUUUGGACCAAGGGCGGAUCACAUUACGACGGCGAAGAGGACCCCUCGGACAGGAAAUCGCCCAGCACGCCACCCAGCAGGUCCCGUUGGCUCUCAGCCGACCCGACUGUGAUUCGGCCUCAUAUGCAGACGUCGGUCAGGGAGAGAAACGCCUCACAGAACAAGAGACCCGUCUCCAGCGACGGGUGACCUCUAAAAUCCCAUCAGCCCCGGUGGGACACCUCAGGUUACACAUCACCCAUCAACCCUGGAAGAAAGCAAAACAGAGAUGACCGCUGCCUGAAACCGUCCUUCUCUCUCACACGUGGAUGCAUAAAAUGUGACCUGCACGCUGUCGCUGUGUGCAAAAAGGGCAGCAAGCUGAGGAAGCCAGGAAACAGAAGCUCACAUUGGAACAAAUGGAUCAAUGGUGAGCUUCUCGCCCACACCGCCAAUGGGUGCAGUGCGUUCAUUGGUUUGAAGGUACAGAGAGAGUAAGGGAGUAGGAGUCAACCGUCUCCCCCCUCUUUCAUCAUUUCCCCAGGACCCACCUUCAUUAAAACUCACUCCAGGGUUAUGAAUGGGCCUGUCUGGCCCGCGGCACGGCCUUGAGAGCCCAGCUGGUUUCUAUUAAAGACUCAAGGUGUGUGUGUGUGUGUGUGUGUGUGUGUGUGUCGGUCGCUGGUGGUGCGGGAGAGAUUGAGAGAGAGAGAGAAAGAGAGCGAGGCAGCGCUCGGUCAUCUGACACUGAGGGGUAACAGGUCCUGGUUUUAUCCCAGACAGGUAGCUCUGAUGAGACCCAGAAUCCAGGUGCUGCCAGAGCCGAACGAG
Molecule: long non-coding RNA, 1283 nt
Organism: Gasterosteus aculeatus aculeatus (three-spined stickleback)
Lineage: Eukaryota; Metazoa; Chordata; Actinopteri; Perciformes; Gasterosteidae
Source: Ensembl